GGAUGUUGUCGAUGCGCAGUCUAAGGGGCCGGGGCCGUGCGGGACUUGAACGACGGCCAAGAGCACGCAUGGUGAGCGGCGGUGAGAUGUGUCGCCACGGCGAUGGGGCCUGUCGCUACGGCGAUGGCACAUGUCGUAAGCGACAUGUUAGGAGAACGAGGGAGGGGGGAGGAAGAGGAGGAGGAGGAAGGUUGAAGCGAGCAGCCGCACGACUUGGACUGCAGCUUCCGUAUUUGGCUCGUCGUCAUUUGAGCGUGCUCAUAGCGCGCGUGCGCGGCUCCGCCCCCUGGUGUCGCUGGCCUAUCGCAUUCAUCUGCUACUUCCUGCCCGUGCACACGUUGCGGCCGCCGGCCAAUCGGGUGGCGCUAUAUCGCUCCUUCCCGACUCGCCUGCUGUCUCGGGCGUGGGGGCGUGUCAACGACGUGGAGCUUCCCGCGUGGUUGCGCAAACCCGUCUACUCGCUCUACAUCAGGACCUUUGGAGUCAACAUGCAGGAAGCCGCAGUGGAGGACUUGCGUCACUAUCGGAAUCUCGGCGAGUUUUUCCGGCGGGGUCUCAAAGAGUCGGCGCGUCCGCUUUGCUCCGCCUCCUGCCUGGUGUGUCCAGCAGAUGGCAGGAUCGUUCACCUUGGUCGUGUGUUGAGUUCUGAGGUGGAGCAAGUGAAGGGCGUCACGUACAGUCUCGAACACUUCCUCGGGCCGCAAGAUGGGCGCAGCGACGCGUUUCCGGCCACCCGUGCGGACUCGUCUUUGUCGUUCCGGGACCGCCUCCUGACGAGUCACGACAACGAGCUGUUCCAUGUGGUCGUGUACUUGGCGCCCGGCGACUAUCAUCGCUUCCACUCGCCUGCCGACUGGACGGUGGCGCUCAGGCGGCACUUCACAGGUCAGAGUGCACGGCCGCUUCCUGUUUGCUGUUUGGUGUCGCCAGGUUCUCUGCUGUCGGUGAGUCCAGGCGUGGCGGGCCGGGUGAAGGAGUUGUUCUGCCUGAACGAGCGCGUGGCUCUCAGCGGCCGAUGGCGGCACGGCUUCUUCUCCUUCACGGCCGUGGGCGCCACCAACGUGGGCUCCAUACGCAUCUACUUCGACCAGGAGCUGCAGACGAACGCGCCUCACGACAAGAAAGGUCGUUUCCAUGACCUCCGGUAUGCGGGGGCGGAGCCAGCCGAAGGGGGCGUGGCGCUGCAGCGGGGCGAGGCGGUCGGCGAGUUCAACUUGGGCUCCACCGUGGUGGUCCUCUUCGAAGCCCCCAAAAGUUUCGCCUUCAGCGUCAAGCCGGGACAAACCGUGCGGAUUUUGGGGGUGAAGAAACAUCACAGCGUUUAUUCCGGGUGUCAUUUAUUCAUGGACCUCGUGGAGUGAAGGCACCGCGAUGCCCUGGCAUGUUGGCAAGGAGCGCUACGGUCGUCACUUAUUGAACAGAACAAACAUUUCAACGCAAAUACAAAAUGAACACACUCGCAAGAAGUCGCUGUAGACCACAACUCACACCCAGACGCUCGCACAGACUAACUGGCCACUUAAGACUCCAGAUACUGACUUCACGCUCGAGGCCACGCCCCUUAAAGCCUCGCCACAGGCAGCAGCAGCACAACCAAUAGGAGAGAGGCUUGCAGCAGUCGCCGUGGCAGUGAAAGCGCGGUUGGGCGAGUCCGCCGUGCGACCACGCAUCGGCGCCGCCGACGUCCUUGGACGCCCACGUGGUCU
RNA transcript from Phyllopteryx taeniolatus (common seadragon), 1706 nucleotides. It is a transcript of the gene named phosphatidylserine decarboxylase, with no coding region annotated. The transcript is spliced from 10 exons. The record is from RefSeq and is a predicted model, not a curated record. NCBI's taxonomy places the organism in Eukaryota, Metazoa, Chordata, Actinopteri, Syngnathiformes, Syngnathidae.